This is a non-coding RNA of Triticum aestivum (bread wheat), 136 nucleotides long. Lineage: Eukaryota; Viridiplantae; Streptophyta; Magnoliopsida; Poales; Poaceae. The record is from Rfam.
AUUAUACUCCCUUCGUCCGGAAAUACUUGUCAUCAAAAUGGAUAAAAGGGGGUGUACCUAGACUUAUUUUAGUUUCUAGGUGCAUCUCUUUUUUUCCAUUUUGAUGACAAGUAUUUCCGGACGGAGGGAGUAUUUU